AAUAUCAUGGGUGUCUCGCUGCGAUCUCUUAAUUGUUUUUUUUUGGCUUUUGUCUCUUUUUGUACUUAAUUGUUCUGUUUUUCUUGAGGUAGAGAGGUGAGAGAGAGGGAGAGAGAGAGAAAAUGGCGGUUCUUUGGGCCCAGAGCCAAAAGCCCACUAGGGCCGUUCAAUGAUUGACUGCCUUGCUCACAUCACAUUUAUGAUUUUUAUCUCCCUCUUAUCAGAAAAAAAGAUUCGCCAGAGAUUACAGGAGGUGGUGAGAAAAAAAAAAAUAAAAAAUACAGAGAAGAAUGGAGGAGAUAAAGAGUCUCAGUCACAGGAACGUGCUUUAUCAAACCCAUUCCCAAAAUGCGAUAAUGUACUAUCUCUCAGAAACUAUUAACUUCGCUCCACUCCUCAAGAACCCUAAAUAUAAACUUGAAAAACAACGAGCGCUUUCUCUUCACUCUGUACUUCUUAUUCUUCUCCGCUAUAGUUUCUUCUCUUCGCUCUGGUAAGUAUCUAUCUGGAACUUCACAAGUUCUAUUUCUUCUCUUAAGCUUGAAUAAGUGGCGAUGAAUGUAGAUUCGAGGUUCCUGUUUGAGUGCUGUAAAAAGUGAGGAAAAGGGGAGGGAAACUCAUUAUUUUGGCCGCAUAACUUUUGCUGGUUUUGUUUCCACUUUUUUACCUUUAGCCAUACAAGUUGACCAAACAACCAAGCGUGUAUCUGUUUGCGUUUGCGUUGAUUACUUCCAUUGAGAUUUUCUUUUUCUAUUGUUUUUGAAGUUCUGCAUCAAGUGUUACAGAAUGGUAUUCUAAAGUGGAAUUACAGUCCGGUGCCUAAUUUUAUUUUUGUUUACAAAUUUUAUAUUUAAUUAUUGUUGAUAGAUGUUCUAUUCAAAUUUGUUGUUUGGCCUUUUAGUAAUUUACAGCCUUUUUCAAAUUUUUGUACAUGUUGAUUUCUUCUAGGUCCCUUCUGUACUAAUUUUCUUUCCAUUUUCAAAUUUCUAAAUCUAAUUUUGUAUUCUUGUUGAUGUGUAGAAUUGUUCCAGUCACUCAUACUUUGAAUUCUUUGGUUAAGCUUUUCUAAUUUCUAUUCUUGAAUGGGUAUUAGAAAUCGCACCCCGAGAGAAAAAUACUGAGGUGAGAUUAGUUGUGGUUCAAAUAGGAAAACCAUGAUGUAAUUUACUUGCAGAUACUAAUUGAAGAAUUAAGUGUAGGGAGUAACUAGGAAUAUAAUGGGCAUUUAAUCGAAAUGGGUAUUGAUGUUUAAUGUAACCCAUGCAAUUGUUUUGUGUUCAUAAUUGUUUUACUGAAUUUAAGAGCAUUUCUUUGUUAAUUGAGAAAACCCAAAUGCGAAGUGAAAUGAAUAUCACUUUGGUAGCCAACUGAAUGAACUUGAGCAAGCCUGUGGUACUGAAGUAACGAUUUUUUUUCUAAUGUUUGCUUACCCAUGAAAUAUAGGUUCUCCUGUUCUUUCGGUUUCUGAAAAUUAUUGUUGUAACAGCUCUCUGUGGCUUUUGCUUUUGAGAAUUUACUCCGGGGUAUACAGUGUCCAAGAUCUGCUGUAGUCGGUGUUUGGAUUGUGUUGAUCUUUCUCUACCUGUUUCACCACAUCGGUGUUGCAAGCUGUAUGUCAAUGGAAAGCUCAGAAAUAUCUAGUUCUGCUGUUCACUUUGCUGUGAAGAAGAAGAGGAGCUGUUCAUCUUAUCGUCCUCGCAAUAUUUCAGAGGCUUUAGAUAGCUAUAUUUUUCUACCACCAUCAACACAACCUGUCAGCAGUCUCAGCAAUGUGGAAAAUCAAAAUUGCAGGGAUAGAAUGGCCAGUUUGGAAGGGUCGGGAGGUGAGAACAAGCUUAAGCUUAAGCUGAAGUUUGGUGGUGUAACUCAUACAAUCCACACCAAGCCCACAGUAGAUUUUCUUGAUGGUGGUUCGGCCGUUUAAAACCCUCUCACUAUUUUGAGAUGCCUCCUUCACAACGAAAGCCACUUUAUCAGGUAUCUUUCUUUUUUUUGGAGUAAUCAUUCGCAGGUAGUUUUGACUGAUUUUUAUGAUCAUUUUUUUUCUUCCUUUAACCACUAUCUAAGCUCGAAUAUCUAGUUUUGCUUUUGUAGAAACCAACUGAUGUAGGCAGAAUAUGAAGUACUGCAAGUAGGAAGAAAAUAUAGAAUGGAGGAAGAAAAUAGGAGAGGAAAGGAAGGAAAAGAUAGGAAAUAGCAAGAAAAGGGAGAACUGGAGAUNNNNNNNNNNNNNNNNNNNNNNNNNNNNNNNNNNNNNNNNNNNNNNNNNNNNNNNNNNNNNNNNNNNNNNNNNNNNNNNNNNNNNNNNNNNNNNNNNNNNNNNNNNNNNNNNNNNNNNNNNNNNNNNNNNNNNNNNNNNNNNNNNNNNNNNNNNNNNNNNNNNNNNNNNNNNNNNNNNNNNNNNNNNNNNNNNNNNNNNNNNNNNNNNNNNNNNNNNNNNNNNNNNNNNNNNNNNNNNNNNNNNNNNNNNNNNNNNNNNNNNNNNNNNNNNNNNNNUUCCAUUAAAGGUGAUGGAAUAAAAAGGGUUGUGAUUGGAUACCAUACACGGUAUAUUUUAACUAAGAAUUUGAUUUGACUGAACCUGGUUUUUGAUUUGGUUCUUCAAGAAAACAAGUUGAUGCUAACAAUAAUGAAGAACAAUGUGAUCAUGGCAGCAAAAAAAAUUGGCUAUGGAAAAUACAACAGAAAACUAGAUUUUGUGGAUGUUCAUUAUUUUGAUGAUUCCAUUAUUGUACUCGGAUCAUUGACGACAUAGUUUUCUGAAUCACCAAAUAGAGGUGCUUGUGGAUAGGAAACUAAAAUCUCUCUCUUUCUCUUGCUCUCCCACAAUGUGGUGCAAGUUACGGGGCUAAUAUAGAAAAUUGUAGAGUGAGCUGUUUCCAUGUGGAGCAUCUAUUCGGAGGGCUUUAUCAGCCAGUUAUCUUGGCUGAUCUAAUCCUUGUCAUAUUUCUUGGUCUCACCCGGGCAGUUUCUUAGUGAUUUGAAAUCCUUAGAUGUGGUUCUAAAGUGAGGUAAAUGACUGCUCAGGCAUCUUUCUCUUAACAGACAUUCUUUAAUUUUUUGGAUGCUUUUAAUAAUAUUACUUUUUUGUUGAUGGCCUUUUAAAAAACUUACUGCUGCAGGAUGCAAAAGGAAGCAGUUAUUGUUGUCCUCCAUAUAAGGGGAAAAGUUCCGGAGUGCGAUGGAAAGAUAUUUCAAAACCUAGCUCAAAUUCUGGAAAGGGCUAUUUGUCGAGGGGAAAGACAUACGGGGAAAGUAUUUCUGUGAAUGGAACAUACAUGUCUAAGCCGGUUCGUAAGAGCAAGCGUGUGCCUAAGAGGCGUGUCUUGGAUGUGGGUUUCAAUGAUGGUGAUGAUGAUGAAGAUGAGGAAAUUCGGUACCUUGGAAGACUCAAUGCUUCAAGUGUGACUGCAGAUUAUGAAAAUAGUGGAGAUGAAAUAAGCAAGACGGGGGAGGGAAUAUACGAGGACAAAGACUACAUGGAGGAAGAGGAACCCACUUCUGAUGAUGAACCUGGAUCCAAAAGGAAAAAGACAUGGAAGGAUUCAGUUGAUUUAUUUUUAGAAGGAAGAAAUGAAUCAACUCCCACUACACGUCAUCGAACCCUUCAGUCUAGUAAAGAUGUUUUAUCUGGCUGUUUUACCGGUCUACUUGAAUUCCCAGAUGGUUUGCCUCCUGCUCAACCUAAAAGUAAGCAGCUCUUUCUCGUAUGCCUCUUCUUGAAAACUUUAUGACCUUCUUUUAUUUGUGAUACUAUUCUGGUUGUUCAUUAUUGUAUCAAUUCAUAAUGGAAGUAUGUCUUUAUUCCUAUGCUCUUGGUUGGUGACAGAACAAAAGGAGAAACUGUCUGAAUUAGAACAACAACUGAAGAAAGCUGAAGCUGCACAAAGACGUAGGAUGCAAUCAGAAAAAGCAGCCAGGGAGGCUGAGGUACGCCUGCAUAUUAUCAUUUAGUUUUGCAUUAUUGCUUGAUGCAGAGUUGGGCAGAGGCUUACUUUCUGUUUUCAGGCUGAGGCUAUCAGAAAAAUACUUGGUCAAGAUUCGGGGAGAAAGAAGAGGGAAGAAAAGAUGAAAAAACAGCAGAAUGAGCUCACACAGGUAUUCACAAACAGAACACUGAAUUUUUUUUUUUCCCGAGUGCAGCUUGGUUCUUUUUUCUUUGUGUUAUAGCUGAAGCAAUCUUUAUUCUACAUCAGGGGAAGGACAAGUCUCACACACUUGCACCAAAUACUAUCAGAUGUGUUAUUGGUCCUACUGGAACCACUGUUACAUUCUCAGAAGACAUUGGUCUACCGAAUCUAUUCAGUUCACUGUCAGGCCGGUAAGUUCAAUAUUUUUAAACAGAAUCCAAAAGCUUCUUUUAUAUUUUUCAUUCAUUAUAUGUGAUGUCAUUUUGGUACUGAUGAUUAUUUUCUCUACAAUCCGACUCGGUUCUCUCUUCUCUUCUCAGUUAUCCACCACCACGCGAGAAAUGUGCAGGUCCAAACUGUACAAAUACAUACAAAUACCGAGAUUCCAAGUCGAAGCUUCCGCUCUGCAGUCUACGCUGUUAUAAGGCAAUACAUGGUAAAAUGCAGGCUUUAAUUGCCUGUUGAGUGCUGAUUGUGUAACCAUUUUAUCCGGGUGUGCUAGAAGGCAUUGUCAGGAUAUUUUGUGUAUUCUGGAUGAAGGGAUGAUACCCUUNNNNNNNNNNNNNNNNNNNNNNNNNNNNNACAAAAGAAAAAGUAUGUUAGACCUGCAUGAAAGGAUAAAUUUAUCUUUUAGUCAGAAACUGAAGGAUGGUUUUCUAAAACUAGUGUGGUAAUGCUCUGGCAAAUGAUAUGUAUUUUAUAUAUAAUCAAGAAUAUUUGACGCAUAUUAUAUAACACUCGGUAAAAUAACUAAGGAGUCUGAGUUUGAAUCCUACAUCCACGUCUCUUAGAAAAAAAAAGUAGAUAUAAGACAUGAUUAUCAUCGCAAACAAAUGAAUGGCGGCUUUUAUACUAUUAACAGCGAUAGUGCAUGCUUCGAAUUUAUAUGCACUUCUCUGGCUGCCGAGUAGCUAUGUAAGUUGCAAACCGGUGCAUAACAGAAAUAUAGCAUCUACGAUCUAUCCAUGAAAACAGCAUCAUGUCCGCUUGAUUUUAUGAACUUCUUCAGUAAAAGAACCAGGAUUGCAAUUGUCAAGCCAAUGGCGGCCCAUGUAAGCAGACGGUCAUCACCUGGUUUCUGAACCCUCGUCAGUGGCUUUUGCAGCGGCUGAUUGCUUGGAUUCCUGGCAACCUCAGAUGCUACCCUUGCUCCCAUAUGAUUGGGAUCGGCAUUGACAGGCGCCUCAGCAUUGGCAGGCGCCUCGUGCACUUCUUCAGCGAUUCUGUCACCUACUGUUGGAUCUGAAGGUGCUUGCACAUCUGCUGCCCCAACAUUUUGCAUAUCUGCCUGCAAUAACACCUCCGCAUUUGUUGGAUUUUCAUCAGAACCCUGGGGGGAGCUAAGUUGGGGAACUGGGGGGGCCUUGCUUAGCAUAUACUGAUGGAUCUGCAGAUGAUGGACAGGUGACCAAAAUAUUAGAUGUCGAAUUAAAAACCACAUCACUAUGAAGAGGAAUUCGUGGGCAAGCAUAUACUUCAUCGAUAAGUUUUUGACGUUCAGGAGUGCCAAAUCUAGGGAGUGCUUCACGAGAUUUGAUGGCCAAGGUUCGCCUCUCUUCUUUUUUGUAGUCUAAUGAGCCCAAUGCACCAUUUGGGCUAGUUGGCAUGAAGGCAAUUAGUGCCACAAGAGCAGUCCGCACUGCCAAUGAUGAUGAUAUGUAAACCAGGUAUAAGAUAAAAUGAAUACACAGAUUCAGUGAUUCACAGAAGAUAUAUGUUAUUCAGGUGCCAACUUAGCAUGAUUACCCGGUUGUGUAUCAUUCACCAGUUGGCAACAAGUAAUAAUAAACCAUACAAGGAAGUAAAUGAACCACACAGAGUGAUACUUGUUUCCUCUCUUUUCAGAAAAAAAAAAUUGUUUCCUCAUUAUUACUCCUAAGUAACAAUAAUAUAAUGAAGCAAACAUGUAUUAUUCAUUAGCUCAAGCUUUGAACAAGUCAGUGCCAAAUUUACCACUUGGACGUAAGUCAUAAUUUUAGGUCUUUGCUAUUUGAUUCAAAGGUCAACUUUUAAUGACUAGCCAUCUACUCAUACUUUAGAAUACAUAUCUAGAUGCAUGAAUGAUAAUGACAUCUUACCACUCCAUGAUGGCUGCCAGUGCUCGGGAUGGUGAUUUGAUAUGCUCAAGCAUAUCUUGGUCUGGGUUUCAAAACGACCAUUUGGCUGAAAGAAGGGCAUGAAACUUGUUAGCAUGUCUAACUUGAAUAAAUAUGAUAAAGUUUUAAAGAGAGGAAAAUCUUACAGUCAACAACAUAAAUGAAGGAGGCUGGAAUGGAUAUUCAGCAGGCAACUGAAUCCGUCCGUGAUAAAUACCACCCUCAAAUUCAGUAUCUCUUGGGCCUCUUAUGGCAAAUUGCCAUUCAAAUAUAUUCUCCUGGUAAUAAUAGAACAAUAGAACUAUUGCAUCAGAAAUCAAGUCAGACUGAAAACAAAUUACAUUAAGCACUAGCAAGAUGGAUAGUGAGACAUGGAACAAGUUGUAAGUGGAAAUAGAAACGGAAAAAUAAAGAAAUCAAUUUUUCAUUCAGUUUCUGUAUAACAUAAACUGAAUUUAGGAAAUUCCUAAUUCCCAACUAAACAAUCCAAAUUUCAAUUAAAUGUGGUUCCCCUAUUCUCUUUAUUUGCUCCCGUUAAGGGAGACCCAUAGGCCUUAUCCAAUACAUUCAGCAGCAAUUUUAAGUCAACUCUACAAUCCCCAGUUCUUUAUAUCUCAAUUCCGUAAGUGAAGCAGAUUUUGAAACAUUAUAAUAUGCAGCAUGUCCCUCCAAUUUGGAAAAAAAUUCCCAGUAGUGCGCUAAUCAGUAUAAACACCGUAAGAUAACCCCAUGAAGUUCCCUCCCAUUUCCGCAACGCAGAAAAAAUAUGUAAAUGAAUUUCAGAAACAAAAUUCAAACCCAAAGUCCAAUUCCAAUGAUUCAACAGAUAUUCCCCAAAUUGCACUUCGAAACCCUAGUUCGAUCCAGAAGCCAAUAUGUACGAUUGCCUAUCUUGUAAAUUAAGCGCAGAUAAACCGUUAAUUGAGAAAGCAUUAGCGAUUCAGACAUCCAAUUAUUGCUGUUUCAGUCGAGCAAUUGCAAACAAUAACAACUUUUUCUAAGGGAGAAAAGAGAGAACGUUUUGAAAAACAAACCUCGAGAGGGAGGCUCAUGAAAUCAUCAGAAGGAUUAGAUUGCAUUUCCUUGACCUCCUGCAGGAUCCUCUUCACUGCAGGAUUCUUUAGAUUGUACUUGUCCUCCGCCAUUGAUUAACGAUUUGAGCAAGGAUCGAUCCUCCACCAAACACCACUCCAAUCCGAUCAGAAGACCUAAAUCUCUGGUUUUAUAUUCUAUCUCUAUAGAAAUGCGCGGUUGUGCAUGUAAAACUGUAUAUACAAACACGCCCGCAGUAUAGAAGAUUGGGGAAAAUAUCAGAGAGCAAAGAAAGAGACGUAGAAGAUGGAGUGCUCGUCGUGUCACCGGUACGAAUAUAAAUGUUGUAGAGCUGGAGAAAGAAACAGGGAGGAGUCCGGAUGUUGACUUGACACGUCAUGUGAUGCGCUGUUGAUGACAUGGCGAUUGGUCAUUGGAUAAUAAACAGUGAGUGAUUAAAUUUAAAUUCACUUCAAAUUUACCGAGGUAAUUUUUUUUUUUUACUUUUAUCAGAAAAUGAAAAGUAAUUUUUUCUUACAGGAGUUUAAAUUAGAAUUGGGCCUGAGAUGAGCCGGCCCAAUUUGAACAUUUUAAGGGAUCGAAAAACUAAUUGGCGCGAGAAAGAAUGGGGGGAGAGAAGGAUUCCGGUUACGGCAAUCAUCGGCCUCGUGUUGAAUUUGCAGUGCGAUUUACAGUAAUGUAACUUUGCAGUGAGAAGUAGAAAAAUUCAAAAGGAUCCGGCAGUAGUCCUGCCGCUCAGCCCUCUGUUUCUGGUAAGCGAAUACGUCCUUACGCCCGUAUUUUAUCCGUUUGGCUGUUGUUCUAAAUGCUGUAUUUAAUAUAUGUAUGUAUAUGUCAUAUAAGCUCUUUCAACGGCGGGCUGGGCUGUUCUGCGUUGAAAGCUGCUUGCUGAUGUUGUUUCCAAAGACCUUAGUUUCUUGUUCUACAUACUAACUUGCUAAGUUGGAUAUUUUGUGUCAUCUUUUAUUUGCUUGUGUUAUUAUUGCUGAUUGUUCGAGUUUGUUGGACAAUUCUUGAUUGGCGGAACUUCUUAGGAACUUACAGAUUUAAAAAAUGUCCCCAAGAAUUAUGUCAGCUAGAUUUCAUGUUCAUUAUUUUAGUUCCGUUCUAGGCAUUGUUUGAUUUCUUAUUUAAUUCAUAGAAUGUCUAAGAAAUUUUCUCCCCGGAGAACUGUUUAACUCCAUAUUUUUAUUAGCGGGCCACCUAGAUAAUAUCAGCCCAUCAACAUCUACGUGACUGUGGUUCUGUAAAGACUUUGUGUAAGAACGGUUCUAUUUGGAGGUUAAGCAAUUUUGAUUAAAAAAAUAAAAACUCUUGGCUGUUCUUGUUGUUUGUUUGUUUGCUUGUUUGUCUUUUAUUUAUUGAUCACUAACCAAAUUGGUCAUUUAAUUUUAGUAUAUCAGUUUAUAAACUCAACAAAAUUAGAUAAAACGAGACUGUAAGUAAGCUUGUUCAAAUGGCCAAUGUUAUGUGCUUUAUGGAGGGGUUCAACUCCGGUGCAGUUGAAGACAAGUUUAGUUCUUCCAGUCAGGGUUUUGAGAGUCUGGAAUAUGGAACAGAAGCCUGCAAAAGGUCUCGAGAUAUUUAUUCGCUCGGUUCUGAUUAUGGAUUCCAUCCAGAUGAGUCAUCACUGGACAAUGGAUUUAUAGUCACAAAGUAUGAUCAAGAACAGCAGCAACAACUGUCAUGUUCAGAUUUUAGACUACUCGAUGGUGUAAGUUUUAACGUUGCUUCUCCACCAAUCCAAGCAUAUUUUGAGGAGAUGGUAAAGCUUGCUGGUGGAAUCCAAGAUGUGAUUGAACCCAAGAAGGAGAAGCAUGUUCAAUUUUCUUUCCCCGCACUUGAGCUCCUAAACAACUACAGAAGUGGGUUCAAGCGGCUGAAUGGGGAAGGACGAAUUAUUGAGCCAAGAAAUGAUACGGCAAAUACAGAGGGAGCAACCAAAAAGUUUUCGACUGAAGAAAUCUUUAGGUUUGCAGGAGAGAUUUUCAUCCAGUCUUCUUCCCAAAUAGUUGAUGGUCUUUCCAUGGUCAGCCAUCCUUUUAAUCUAUCUUUUUCUGGUCUUUCCAAUGAGGAAAUCAAAGAUGUGGAGCUAGCUGGUUUUCUUUUGGCUUCUGCAGAGAAAGUAGGCUGUCAAGAAUAUGACCGUGCGAAGAGAUUCCUGAAUCAGUGUGAUAGCUUGUCUUCUGAUACUGGAACUCCAGUCCAACGUAUAGUUUACUACUUUUCUGAAGCCCUUAAGGAAAAGAUUGAUCGAGAGACUGGUAGAUUCAAGUCAAAGGGAUUAGAGAGAGUGCAGAAAGUCGAUAUUGAUGAGGCAAUCAUGAGCCCAAAUCCUGCUACCCUGGCAUGUCAUCAAACAAUGCCUUUUGCACAGAUAACCCAAUUUGCAGGGAUCCAAGCCAUUAUAGACAAUAUGGCUGAGGCAAGCAGAGUUCAUAUAAUUGAUCUUGGAAUUAUGAGUGGGAUCCAAUGGGCAAUCCUGAUGCAAGCUCUUGCAUCACGUCAAGAGGGUCCUAUUGAGCUUCUUAAGAUAACUGCUAUUGGAACUACUUCAAAACAUUUGAUAGAGGAUACAGGUCGGCGGUUACGGAGUUUUGCUGAGAGCAUGAACUUACCCUUUUCUUUCAAGAUAGUUAUGGUCUCAGACAUUCUUGAUCUCAAAGAAAAUCUCUUUGAGACAGAUGCUACGGAGAUGGUUGCUGUCUUUUCUCAGUUCUUGCUAAGGAGCAUGAUUGUAGUUCCAGACCGGUUAGAAGCCUUAAUGAGGAUCAUCAGGAAGAUUAGUCCGUAUAUAAUGGUUGUUAUUGAGGUAGAGGCAAAUCUCAACUCACCAUUUUUUGUGAGCCGUUUCAUUGAAGCUCUUUUCUUUUACAGUGCAUAUUUUGAUUGUCUGGAAGCUUGCAUGAAAAGAGAUAAUGUCAAUAGGGUGGUUACUGAAUCUAGAUACUUUGGCGAGGGAAUCAGAAAUAUAUUGGCAGCUGAAGGAAAUGAAAGGAAGAUCCGAAAUGUGAAUAUUGAUGUUUGGAGGGCUUUCUUUGCUCGUUUUGGAAUGUUAGAGGCUGAUCUGAGCAUGUCAUCCCACUACCAAGCAAAACUUUUGACUGAAAAGUUCAAUUGUGGGAGUUCUUGUACUCUUGACAUGAAUGGAAAGUGCCUUAUUGUUGGGUGGAAGGGUACUCCACUUCUUUCUGUUUCUGCUUGGAAGUUCUAUUAAGAAGAACUGACCAUGAUAGUGAUGAUCUAAUUCAAGUACAUUGUUCCUUUCAGUCUCUAAUCUGAGGUCCUCAUAGGUAAUAUAAAAUGAAAUUUGUAGUUUGUUUCUUCUUGGUUCGGAACGUGGUUUGAGCAGAUCUAUUUGAUGCUUGAUGUCUUACUAUGAUGUUUUUAAAUAGGCAAGUAUCAUAUGGGAAGGAUCACGUAACAUCACUUUUGUUAACAUUGUGCUCUUAUACAGUCAAGCAAGCGUAUCCAAUUCACAAUCUUGUUUACCAGCAUCUUCAUGUUUUACAAUUUCUUUACACCAUACAAGGGUUUCCUUCUUUUGUGCUUUAUAUGCAAAGAGUUCUAAGAGGUAAUAGGCUUUACAGUUUCUGCAACUCAUGUGACAAUUAAGAGUUUAGAUAUUUGCAAUUCAAUUCUUUUUAUUCCAUCAACAGCAAUUACAUUUCUCUGUUAAUAGGAAGGUUUCCAUAUUAACAUGGUGAUUUGCAUUCAUAUUAUGCCCUUUUCAAGUCCAAUCACAGGAAUGCUGCUUUUUGCAUAGAAACCUGGAACUCUUGGCAUAAUUCAGUAUUUUUGGCACAAUCCUCUCCUUGUGAAGCUAAUGAAGUGGCUUCAGUCCUGCACGAAAACCCCCUUAAAGACAGCACAGAAAAUCCUGAAAUUAUUGCCAUUAGUGUCUAGAUGAGGAAGCAUCAAUCUAAUAGGCAUUUUACUGUAUUUCUAUUUCCACAGAUUUCCGCGCACAAGCAACUUAAUCAUUAAGACUGAACUCAAUGCUAACCAAUCAGGUUCUAAUUUCUGAAGGAUGCCUGACGAGUUUAGGAGAAUGUCCAACUUGUGUUGUUCUUGUUACCAAUAAUUUUACUUGAUUAUUUAGGCCUUAUUGCCAUAAAUUAUUUUCUCUGCUUCAUUUUUUUUUUUGUUUAUAGUUCCAAGGGAUCAAUAAAACGACCUUGUUCAAGUCUAAAAAUACUCCAAGCUUCAAGUUUCAUGAAAUAAAUCGACAAUAGGAAGUUACUUAUCAAGUUUUAUCUCCGCCUUUUAUGUUUUUUUGCUCCACACUAUUCCAACUUCUAAUUCUAGAACUUCUAUUGUCUGCCUUCAAAACCGUGCUUCCCAUUAGAGGAGAGAUUCAAUUAUUUUCUGGUGUAUGGGAUUUCAACAUAUGCAGGGUGUCAGUUGUAGAGAGUAAAUGAGGGGAAUAUUCUUAAUCACAUUCUAGCAAAUUUUCUCACAGUCAAGUUCUUAGCACUUUAAGAGAGCUGGUUAUGUUGUCUCAGAAAAGAGAUAAAAGAAACAAGAAAAAAGAAAAGGAGAGCUGGGUUAUGCUGGGGAAAAACUCUGCCACUUCUGAUUUGUCCACUUCUCUUUACAAUUUUCUGCACAUAUGACAUCUUCAUGUAAAUAUCCUUUUGGAUAGUCCCUUUCCUAAUAUUGCUGGCUAGUUUAUUCAUUAUCUAUUUCUUAGAGAAAAUAUUUCGUUCCUUAUCUGGCUGUGUAUUAGUUUCAGGUUCCUUUGGAUCACCUUGUAAAGCAGCAGGAGUGUCUGCCAAGUUAUAUAAUAUACUGAUUUGUGAAAUGACUUUGAAUCUUGAAAGAAGCAUGGGUUUUGGGUAUUGUGUGAUUAUAAGCACAGUGGUAGCAAGUUAGAUAUCCUCUAGUGUAUUGAGACAAAUAUGGUAAAGCAACUUGAAUUAGUCUUGUAACACUGCCUUUUAUUCCCUGAAAAAUUUUGCUGAUUCUCUGCCAAAUACUCAAUAGUGAAAUCUGUUAAUGGGGAUGAAAUAGUGAUUUCUAUCCAUUUCAUCAGUGCAAGGCUUGGAGUAUAGAAGCUGAUCUAGAUUUUUUGAACAAUAAUCAUCUCUCAAGUGAUGGUUUGAACAGUAAUCAUUUUUCGUCUGAGAGGAAAAAUUGUCUGACCAGAACUUAAAAAAUAAUUGAAGUGAUGGCUAGUGAAAUUGUUGAAGACCAAAUCUUUGCUAGGAAUUGUUGAUCAUGAAAAAAAAGAGCUUUGAGCUUAUUUGACACCCUUGUUGAGAUCUACAGGUUUUGAAUGACAAACUAAAUGGGAAUCAUUUCCAACUAGACAGACAUAACCACUACUUUUUUUACUUCGAAGUAACCACAUCAAUGUUAUGGGUACCGAUAUGUAAAAAUAUUUCUUUGCUCCACAUGCUUAUUUCAAUUAAUAAUUCCCUGGAGAAUUGUUCUUCCAUUUGUUUACUUGACGAGAAGAAAAACAAAAGAAGCUUAUUAUGCAAACAUUAACUUGAAAUUACGAGUUACACAUGCAGAUUUUAAAGCAGCCGGUUGAAGGAUUCAAGAGAGUUUCUCAUUAAUUGUUGAUUCUUCAAUUAUGUUCACUUGGUUUAAGGACUUGAAACCUUGGAUCUCAGAACAUCUGCUGGGUGACACAGUGGAGUUGAACCCUUGAUUCAAUGGAAAGACAGGCCUUAGGCAUUUGCGUGCAACAAUAACUGAAUUAAUGACCUCAUCAGUUGGAUGAAAAACUGAAAGAACCUCAAAACCUUGAAGCUCAUGAGGACCAACAACAGGAUACAGAAAUGCUCGAGCUCCAUGUGAACUCCUCAGCAACAAGAAGGCUCCUGGGGCCAUGUGCAAUGCCAAGUGAUCAAUGAUUUGAGUCUUCUCUUCCUUGCCCAUCCCUACAAGAGCUGCCAAGAAAACAACUUCAUACUCCUCCAAAGCCUGACUUGACAAGUCCAUAACAUCCAAUGUAUGGAAAAACAUUCGUUUCGACAAGUCAGGAUCUGAUGAAACCAGCUGCCAUGCUUUGUAGUUUGCCAAUGGAUCAAUGUCAUAGUUAUGAAAAGUUGUUGUCUUCAGGUGCUGAGAGGCCAAGAUGAUGGAAGUAAGAGGGAGAGGUCCAGAUCCUAAGAAGGCAAUUUUGGUUGGAACUUGACCAUCGCAAUACUCUUUACCGAGCAUGGUGAACUCUAGAUUGGUAAGCUUGAGGUAAUUCGUGUAGUAGGGGAAGAGACCGAUGUGGCGAAGUGGGUUCUGUUGAGAUCCUAUGAGAGUUGAGAAAUGGCUUUCUAAAAGUCCCUCAGCUUUCCCACAUAGCUUAAUCAACCUACAUCUCAUGUCUUGAACUCUUUUGCUCAGCUUGGUAACAUCAAUAUGGCAGGGAGACAUGCAUGUAAGUACAAGUUGAGUGAAGAGGGUGUUGACAUGGUCACUAGGGUUGAGGUUUUCUAGCCUUGAGAUUUUAUGAUACAUCUCAUAGACUUUUCUUACUAACACUUCAUCUUCUUGACAGUCCAUAUUGACAACCACAACAGGACUCAAGACACCAGCACCGGAGACAACAGACAUUGACCAGGAGUGACUUACACGCUUGUGUGAAUAUGUUUCUGCACUCAAAAGGUAGUAGAGUAUAAAUAGUGAAAUGUUCUCUUCUAGCAGGUUAAACUUGUCUCGUAUCUACACUGCCAAUUAUUUAACUAAACUAAGCAAUUGAGCAAGUUGAUUCCGAGUAGAGGCAUAACCCGAUAAAAUUAUUAAAAUUGUGUCACGUUUAUUUUUCACUUAAUUUCACUCAUUUUAAAAUCCACUUUCAUAUUAAUUUAAGUACACAUAAUUAAAAUAUAAUUCAUUAUUAUUAACUAUUUAUUAGUUACACAGUUAAAAUUUUUAUUUUUCUCUAUGAAAAUGGUGGUUCAAGUUAGAUUAGCCGUUCUACAUCUAUAUAUAUAUAUAUAUUUUAGAAUUUUUAAUUUUUAAUUAUUUUUUAAAUACUUUUACGACAAAAUUUUAAUUUUAAUUUUAAUUUUUGAGGUAAAAAAUGAACUUUUUGAAUUUUAAAAAUUCAAAUACAAUAUAUUGUGUUCUAAUUAUACAUUUUAAAAUUAAUAUUGGAAUUAAGUCCAAAAACAAAUCAUUCCCGACGUAGAAAUAAGUUCAGGUAGAUCAUAGGAAAUUAAUAAUUUAUUCACGCACUGGAAAAAUGUGGUGAGGCUGCCAAAAGAGGCAGAUAAUACGAGCUAAAAAUAACAGUCAUCAUGCACCAUGAAAUGGUAUGUCUACAUAUGAUGCAUUAAUUCCAUCAUCCUACCCCCCUUAUAUAUAUAUAUAUAUACACAUACAUAUAUUUAUACACACACACACACACAUAAUAUGUUUUUUCUAGGGAUACUUUUUUUUUGGGAUUAUUUUUAAGGGAUAUAUAUAUAUAUAUAUAUAACAAAAAUAGAUACAGUAUGUAAAAGUUGAAAUUCACAAGCUAAAUAAUUUAUAAAUAUUAAUUAACUUUGUAAAUUAAAUUGUCACAUAAAUAUAUAUAUUAUAUCAUAUUAUAUUAUAUUAUACAUGCACAUUAAUCAUAAUAUAAAACUAAAAUAUAUUGAAAUAUAUACAAGUCAUGUAGUAAAGUGCUUCUGCAAUAAUUGACGAGUAGAAAAAUAGUAGCCUUUAAUUCAAUCUUAAUGAGUCUACAAUGUCGACAUUCCAAGUUUACCAGAAGAGCUAGUGGCAGACCAACUGUGUCAUCCGCACGGUGCCGUAUUAGGCCUCGUUUUUUUCCUCUCUUUUCCCCUCAUAUUUACUUUAUUUUUAUAUUAAAGUUUGUCUGGUUAGUAAAUUACUUUUAAAUAAUUAAUGAGAUAAUUAUCAACGGUAUAAUAAUUAAAUUUUUUAUAUUUUAUUUAAAAAAUUAUUAUUUUAUUAGUGUAUUAUAAAUAAUAUGACAAAUUUUUUAUAAUAAUAAAAUAUUGAAUGAAAAAAUCUAGAAUACCAAUUACACCAUUGUAUAAUUCACAAAGAUACUUCAGGCCCAAUAAGAAUCAAAAUUCAAGUUGUAGCCCAAAAAAAAAACAAUUAUUUAGAAUACCUUAGACGACGUCGUAUGAGGAGGAAAGUUACAAGCUUGGGUUCGGUCACGUAAUGGGCGGAGCCCGCCACAGAUAUACACGGCUGGCUUAUUUGACGCGUAGCUCGGCUUCAGCGCAUGUAAGCCAUGUGUAAGGCACUAGGCCCCAUAAGAGAGUCUGCUCAACUCAAGCCCGAGUCAGAGAAGAGACCGGCUAACUCAGGUAGGGCGAACUGGAGUGCGAGCAGAAAAAUGGAGAGCAAAACGCGGGAAGAAAUGGAGAAGAUCGGGAUAAUCGAUUCGUGGCUGAGGAAGCACCAACUGAUCUACAUAGGAGCUACGAGGCAUCCUUUCAUCCUCAGCAUCAGAGAUGGCUCCGUCGAUCUCUACUGCUUCAAAACAUGGCUGGUAGUUAGUACGCAUCUGCUUUGAUUUCCGAAAUCCAUUUGAAAGCCAACUGUAAUUUUCUUAUGUUUGUGGUUAGUUUAUUUUGGUUGAGAAAAUUUCAGGGACAAGAUUACAUAUUCGUGAGAGAAUUCGUGGCAUUUGCGGCGAGUGUGUUGAUGAAGGCCUGUAAGGAGUCGGAUGAGUCGAGUGAUAUGGAAGUGAUAUUAGGAGCCAUGGCUGCUCUUAACGAUGAAAUUCGGUGGUUCAAAAAUGAAGCCUCCAAAUGGGAAAUCGAACUCUCGGGAAUUGCUCCCCGAAAGGCAACCCAAGAUUAUUGCAGGUUCAUACGUGAUUUCCCUUCUCCCUGUUUUAGGUCUCAAAAUAAAAUUGCAGUGUUUAUAUGUUCUUCUUGAUUAUGGAUCAUGCUUUAUAGUUUUUUAUGUUAGAAUUUAGUCAAUAUAUAGAUUAAAUGGAAAACAAUUUUAAAUAAAUUUCGCAAAGAACAAAUUGAAAAUUAGUUCUCAUAUUUGUUGAGUUAAGUAUGAAUUUACAAGUCUUGUAGAACUCAUUUUUCCUUGCUGUGUUCGUUUUGAUGUUUGCAGCAUUUUCAUGUUUUAUGGGUCCGGACUAAUAGCUAUUAAUUUUUUGCGACCACAACAUUUUUGUGAAGAAGAAAAGACAUAUAUAGUUUUAAGUGUCUUAAGGUUGCAUUUGUUUAGUUUUGAAUUUUAUAUUUGCUUAUAAUUAGAAUACAAUUUCUUAUGAUUGAGUUUACCAGCACUUUUAUAUUGAAUUUCCAUUUUCAAUGGAAUUCAAAAUGGGUUGGUAAUAUAAGACUAAUAUGGUAAUCAGAACUAGGAAUUAACUUAGAAUUGAAUGACAAAUAUGUAUUUGAUCCUUGUUUAACAUGGUAACCACAUGAGAUUUUUCUAGCGUAACUAUAUGAUAGUUUUGUUUGUAAAAUGAUUCUUCAAUAAUCUUUUUUUUUAGAUAAAUAAUUCUUCAAUAAUGUUACUUUAAUUCGAAUGAACAAGAUUAAUCUUUGGCACUGCGUUUUAGUCGUUAUAUUAUAAUUUUUAGAAAUUAUUGUUCUACAUAACCAUUUUAUUUGGUUCACAUAAAGACUAAUUCAGUUUAUUUUUUUGCAAAGUAAGUAGAUAAUUUAUUUACGCAACAACACUCCAUGUAGCCGGAUUAUCUGAUAAUACACACACCAAUAAUUGGUGAGCCCAAAUGACAUGAGAGCUGCACCGGGGGAAAAAAACAACCCUUAGAAUUUUAGCAUCGGCAAGUCUUGCAACAUAAUGACUUCAUGCCUUGCAUAUUUGUCCUUCUAGAUUUAGUUCAGCAUGUAUUUGUAUUGAAUGUCCUUUUCUUUGUCCCAUCAUGUAAGUCAUUGCAUUUUGAACCCACCUCAAAUUUGAGAUUGAAGCCAACUUCCGGGUGAAAAGAGGAUGGCCUUGAACACCAUUUCUCUAGGUUUUCAUCUUACAAAAAACUUGUCAACAGGAUCAAGUGUGGGGAUGAACGUCUUAUGUCUCUCUAUCUUACGGACACAAUUGAUAUGCAUUCUAGUUCAUUGGGACGUGCCUUUAUCUUAAGAACACAAGUGGUAUGCAUUCCAGUUUUUGUGUCUCCAAAUAUGUGCCCUGCUAUCUUUUAUAUGCAUUCAUAUUUGCAUAGUUGGGAUUCAUGUCUUACGCAUCUAAGGUAGGGCCACACAUUUCUGUUUAAGGGGAUGCUAGUUUUUUGAUCCCCAACUAUUUUUUUAUGGGCAGUGUUCCUAUUUGCUAGGAUGAGAACUUUUGCAUCUGCAAAAAGUUGCAUUUCCCAGCUAUAUUUUUGGACGCAAAUUAUGUGUUAAUAUAUGUGCACCCUUGCUAAAACUUCUGUUGUCGAGAUCCCUGGUCUGGUACCAUCAUUUUGAGAGCUAAUGCAUGGGUCCCAAACUCACACAGGUUUCUGGAGAGUUUGAUGGGCAAGGAAGUUGAAUAUGCUGUUGUCAUUACAGCUUUCUGGGCAAUUGAAUCUGUGUACCAAGAGAGCUUUGCCCACUGCUUAGAAGAUGGUAACGAAACCCCACCGCCAUUACUGGAUACCUGCCAAAGAUGGGGCAACCGCGAUUUUGGACAGUACUGUUUUUCCCUCAAAAAAAUUGCUGAUCGGUGGCUGAAGAAGGCUUCUGGUGAUAUUCUCAAAAAGACUGAAGUGGUGCUCCUCUCUGUUCUUGAACAUGAAGUAGCCUUCUGGAAUAUGAGCCGCGUGCAUGUGGCAGAAGCCGAGCACUAAUUCUCCUCUCGGGCUACUUGUCAGCUGAGUACUUCAAGCUAGAGUAAGUGAAUUUUCUUGAUUUAUGCUUUUAUAAUGUUGGUGUCAGUAGAUUAUAGCAAAUGCAUAUGUAGGUUUUAUGUUGUAAUUGUAAUUAGGUAUUAGUGGAAAAGUGUUUUAUGCUUUGCGCCAUGUAUAUCAUCAGUGAAAGCUUGGACAGAACCUACAUAGAUAUAUACACACACCACGUAAUCAAUAGUUAGUGCCUGGAGAGAAUCUAUAUAUACACAUAUACACACUAUCAAGGCACGAACUUCAUCCUAUGUUACUCUCUAAAAUAUUUUGUUGCUUCUUUGGCUAGCAGAAUAAAGAACGUGUAGAAGAGAUUCAAUCUACUAGUCCAAUUUAUGGGUAACUUCUAAUUGCCCAUUUGGUUUAUUUUCCUUGAUGUUAAUUCAUAUAUAUAUAUAUAUACAUAUAUAUAUAUAUUACUAUUAUAUAUAGCUGCCCAUUUUGAGAUCCGAUUAGAGUAGUAGCAUUUCAUAAGAUAUAAUUAAUUACUAUAUCUAUAUACCAAUACCAAUAACAUGUAAGCUUAGUAGUUAAAAUUUUUGUAAAUCUUUUUAAGUGGAGAAGUUAUAUUAAAUUGUUUACUAUAUCUAUACAUUGUAUGCGGAAAAACGUUUAUAGAUAUUUAAACUAUAAAUAUUUGAAGUCAUUGUUUUGGCUUUAAAAUAUAUAUUAAAUACAGAAAUUAAAUAAUUUAAAAAAUAAUUACUUAAUUAAUUGUAUUUUUUUAAGAAAAAGUCAAAGAAGACGCAUCUAGAAAUUUGAUAAGUCCUUUGUGAUUAUGGUUAAUUAAUUAUAUCUUUAAUUAAUUAAUGAUAGUACGGGUGGCAUAAUCACAUAAUUAGUUUUGUCAUUUAACAUUACGUGUGAUGUUCAUUUUGGUAAUUAAUUAAUAUCGAGUCUUUUAUAAUUAUCAUUAAUGAUGUCAUAAUUAUUUUAUAUAUUUCUUGAAUUUAUAAAACGCAAUGAUGAAAAUUCUUUAUGGUAUUAACCAAACAAGGAGCGACACGUCAUAUCAAUUACCAGAAGAAUGUAACCUGAGAAAAUUGGUUUCAUCAUCAUCAACAUCCUGACGAUUUUAUUAAAUUACGACUAGUAAUUCAUUAAAACUCGAAGAUCCCAGGGGAUAUAAUCGGCUGUGUCGCACCCCCAACUUGCCAUGGUACCCGGCAAAGUUCCGGCGACGCCAUUUUUUCCGAUGACUGGCCGUCGCAGGAGCAGCCGGCGACGGACGAACUACCGACCUGCAUACAGCUAUUCAGUAUCAUAAUCUCCAAAUGAAACAUAUAAUUCGCCAGUCUCGUCUUCUCAGCCCUCAGCACGUUAUUCUCGGACUCCACAGCCUUAUUGCUCUCCAUUAUGAUAUCAAACCUCUUGUUUCCCUCCUGUAUUUUUCUAUUCAGAAGAGCAAUCUCGUUGACCAGAUCCUCGAUCUGCUUCUGCCUCCUCAGCCGUGACCUUCUCGCCGAUUCGCGGUUCGACAGCAUUCUCUUCCUUCUCUUCUCGUCCGUAAUCACGGCGUAUCGCGCGUCUUUUUCCAAAACCGAGUUCGUCAGCUGAAUCCCCUGCUUCACCAUUUUUCUAGAAAUUCCCGAACCCGAUCCAAGAAAUUUUGGUCGCCCAACGGCGGAUUGUUUGGCGACGAGGAAAAUGCUCCUUACCGAUUCUCGCAGUAAAAUUCCGAAUAAACAAACACGAUUAUCCGGAGAGAGAAUUUAAUUUCGAGCAAUCAAAUCUCCGGAUUCGACGAUGAAAAUCGAGAAGGGAAAAUUAAGAAAACUUGUAAAACCAAUAGAGGAUUACAACUGAGACUGACUGGAAAACAAGAAGCUGACAGAACUGCGUUAGGUUGUUCAUAUAUCGAUAAUGGCGGAAAUUGUGUGUAUAAUUAUAUAUAUAUUCUCCUGGUACCAUCGACGAACCAGUAAACAAAGCAUGACGGGCCGGGAGAUUUUCAGACGAAAGAAAUUAAGAUCCUCCCAGGCAGAAGUAUGGAGGAAGACGAUAAAGUCGGCUGAGAAUUAACGUGAAGAAGGAGAUAAGAUAUAAAGCAUAGAGCUGAAGAUUAAGGUGCGGAAAAUGGUGUAUAUAUAUAUAUAUAUAAUUAUAGACCAUAAGAGAUUAUGUCUUUAUCCAUUAUCCCAAAAUUUUGAGUAUUUUAAGGUUAAAAAAUUAAUUAGAGAUUUUUAAGGUAAUACUAAUUUGGGUAAUUCAGUUGGUACAGAAAUAUCCUUCCUAAAUUGUAAUAAAUAAAUUUUAAAUGCAAAAAUCAGUAUAAUUUUUUUUUUAAAAUAUUAAAUUAAUUAGACAAUGUUAUAACUAAAAAGGUAUGUUAAAAAAUAGGUAAUUACUUUCUUAAAUGUAAUUAAUUAUGUUUGCUCUAAAAUUGACAAUUCCAUGUGUAGAGAAUUUUGGAAGCUGUUACCCUCAUACUAUUUUGAAUGGUCAAUUUGAUGUUUAAGGUAAUUUGUUAAUAUAUUUUCCCAAGGAUAAGAAUUUUCCUUAAUUUCAUACAUAUAUAUAUAUAUAUAAUAUAUCUAUAUUUAUAUACGUAUUGAGGUAAGUGGGUAAGGAUAAAAUUGGGUUACUAAUAUUCUCCAAGAAUGUAUCCACUCCCAUUUUCAUUUUUUAAUGAAGACUUUGUUAUGAGUUGGUUUAAUUUAGUUAUCGUAGUAUCAUUAAUUCUUCGGAUACCACCAUCGCUUUUUCUUCGGGAAAAGAAGUUCACGGCCCGUGGGCCUUCUACCUCCAUGCGGCAUUGCUCCGUCAGGCUUUCGCCCAUUGCGGAAAAUUUCUCACUGAUGCCUCAUGCAGGAGUCUGGGCCAUGUCUCAGUCCCGUUGUGGUUGAUCAUCCUCUCGGACCAGCUACUGAUCGUCGUCUUGGUAAGCUAUUGUCUUACCAACUAGCUAAUCAGACGCGAGCCCCUUCUCGGACGGAUUACUCCUUUAUGUUAGUGAAAUAUUUAUUUUACUAAAAAAAAUAAUAAAUUUGUAAAAAUUUAAUUUAAUUUGGUUACCGUAACCCACUAAUAUAAUUAAGUCUUCGAUAUUAAAAAAUUGAACAUUAUAAGUUAUUCAUCUUGACUUAUAAUACACUCAUAAAAUUAUAAAUUUUAUAUUUUUAAUAAAAUUUUAAUAUAUAACUUUUAAAUAAAUUUAAAGUAGACUAAUUUAAUAUAAAUUAAACACUAAAUUUCACAUUAUUGAACUAAGUACAUUUGAUUUAACCGUUAUUUAAUCAUAAGAAUUUUGUUGGUUACAUUUCAAUACGUUUAUUCUUCUGUGUAUAUAUAUAUAUAUAUGUACGUACGUAUAUAUAUGUGUGUGUGUGUGUGUGUACAUACAUAUCUGCAUAAACCACUUCUGUGCAGGAUAACCGAUAAUUCUAUUCUCUGAUUUCUCAACGACAGUGGAGCUUGGACGACAAGGCAAAUGCAAGCUUUCAAUAUGAAAAUGUAAAACUUAAUCUUAUAGUCCAAUCGCUAUCUGCUUCCAACACUUAUCCAUACCUGUCUGUACACCUUAUCUAAAUGUAGUUUGCUACGUUAUCAAUUCACACACACACACACACACACACACACACACACACAUAUACACACACACACACACACACACACACACACAUAUAUACACAAUGCGUAUGUAAAUGAAUAAACAGUCAUCAACAAUAUACUCAGUAUAAUGAUUAGCACUUUUAUAUGCUAUUUUAAUAUUAUAAAUUCAUAUUUUAUUAAAAAUGUAUAUCUUACCCAUUUAUAAAUAUAUUAUAAUCUAACAUGGGUCAAUUUCUAAUAUUUAAUAUAAUAAAAUAAAAAUUUAAUUUAUAAAUAUAUUGGUGAAAUUAAAGCAAAUAAAACGAGUAAUUAUUCUAAAAUAUAUAAAUAAUACUUUUAUUUAUUAUAUAAAUUUUUUAUAUUUAAAAAUAUAAUAAAUUUAUUAAAAUUAACAUAAUAAUGAGUUAAAUUUUUAUUUUUUUAAAAUUAAAUAUUAUAAAUUAAUUACUAUUAUUUAAAAUUUAAGCUUAUAAUAUUUAAAUAAAAUAUGAUACUCUCCAAAUCAAUAAAAUUAUUAGUUAAUAAUGUAAUUAAAUUAAUUAUUGUUUUUCUUAUAUUAUCAUUAUCAUUAUUUUUUUGAGAUAAACAAAAUGAUACUUUGAUAAUACCAUUUACCUUUUUUUUAGGGGAUGAUAAGUGCACUUGCUUAUCAUUUUCGAAGGGAUUGAUAUGAUAAAUUUUUCAAGAAGAAGAAAAAUUCUCAACAAAGUGGCUGUAGUUUAGUGGUGAGAAUUCCACGUUGUGGCCGUGGAGACCUGGGCUCGAAUCCCAGCAGCCACAUUUGUAGGCCUUUUGUGUUCUGCCGUUUUUUUUUUUUGGGAGGGGAGCUUCUUUUGCCCUUUCAUGGCGUUUUAUAUAUAUAUUUUUUUCUAAAAAUAUUGUAUAUAUGCCAAGAAUGCUUUUGAACAAGGUAAUCCUGGAAAGUGCUUUUCAACAAGCUCGUUCUCUAGGUGCUUUACUAACAAAAUACCAGUUAGCUGCUAAUAUAUAUCGUGCUUUUUAAGAAGGUGCUCGUGUUGAUUGUCUGUCUAACCAUGUGAGAUUCACGAUGAAUAUAUACAUAUCACUGUUCGCAACCAAAAGAAAUUAUGCAUUUAAGCAGAUGCUCGUACGUGUCUCAUGCGACUAUAGUCUAUACAUACAUACAUAUGUAUACACAUAUAGUCAAUACUUUUAUUACUACACGUACCAAACUCAACCCCAAGAGUAUGCAUGUGAACUCAAUCUAAUCUCAUGCGUUCAGCGCAUGGAAACCUACGAGUAUUUACACAAUUAAAUUUGCCAGUUGGAGCAUGACGUCUAACAGCACCCAAAACUGUAGGAAAAUGGCGUAAGAAGCUGGAACUCUCACCAUGCAAACACAACUCCCCUAUAUAUAUACCCCUCGAAUCUAUAUACGGAGCAACGCAAAGAAAACAUAUCUUACUUCGAGUCCACUCAGUGACUUUAAGAGAAGAAAAGAAAAAAGAAGAUGGCCGGUCAUGGACGAGACCCGAAGAUGACCGUCGUUCAUAAAGCUGCAGAGAAAGUGAGCGGAGCCCCAGUUGCCGUCAUCCAUGGGGUUGCUCAUCCUAAGCCAUUACUUGUUUCUAACCAACACCCAGUACUGCAGGGGUCCAGCGUUUCAAUUUCUACUGCUCCACCAUUUGCUUCUGAUCAGAAGAUGGCGCCUACCGGUCCAUACUCCUACGUUGCGUCAGCUCCAUACCACCACUAGCUAUUUCUUUACACGACUAUAUAUUAAAAAAGUUAAGGAAAUAAAGUUUAAUAUAAUAUGAAUAAAGAAUGGUGAGAUAAUUCUUGUCGUGUAAUUAUCUCCGGCAUGUGGUUUAAUCAGUCGUCUUCUGUUUGGUUUCUGCUUCUGUGUGCAAAUAAGAGCAUCGUUGAUGUUGUACUGGUAAAUUAAAGGUUAAUCCCAUGAAGCCCGGUACAUACAUACAUACAUAUAUAUAUAUAUAUAUAUAUAUAUAUGAAAGGACCUUGUAUUUCUUGCUAGGUUGAUUACUAUUUACAUGCACCUUGUAAUUUGUACGAGAUAAUAUAAUGAUGAUGCUUAUAAUUGUUAAUCUGAUUUGGGUCCCUUUACUUGACAACGAUAUAUGCUAUUUAUGACGUCAUAUAUAAUGUUUAAAUAAUAUAUAAUAAAAAGAAUUAAAUAUUAAAUAAAUUUCAUUGUCUUUAAAUUUUUAAGAUGAUUAUUACCACUAAAAUUAUUACUUUACAAUAAAUAAUAGAUAAAUAUCAAUUAUAAUAUAAUAUAAUAUAAAUAAUUUCUAAAUGAUAAUAUAUAUAGGAACACAAAUUUAAUUCAAAUUAAUAAACUAAUAAAAUAAUAAAUAAGAAGAAAACGGCAGCGUAGAACUGACCACGUGGUCUGAUAACUACAAUCGUUAUAUUUAUAUACACUGUAAGAACGAAGAGUCCCUUAAAACUCAAACACCUCGCACGUGUGAAAUAAAUUUGCUUUCGCACGUGUAGAUAACUAGUCCAGAAUCAUGCAAUUUUACCAGUCAAGAUCCAAGUAAUUAACACUAAUCAAAUAUGUUGAGAGGCCUUAAUUAAAUCAGGCCCAAGCCCAUGAGGAGAAAUAAAUGGGCUACGUUCGGCCCAAAGGAUUGCACGUGUGAUGUGCGUGCGUGCGUGCGUGUGUGUAUGUAUAUAUAUAUAUAUAUAUGUAUAGCUAGCUGUAUUACGUUAAGAGAAGAUUUUCUGUGGUGUAAUUGUGGCGUAGCGCACGGUUACUUCGGGGGAGGUAUAAAUUUCUCGUUUUAACGCUCAUCCUAGGGUUUUACUCUCCCCGCCGCUGCUCUUCACUUUUUGCUUUCUGGUUAAUUAUGGCGUACGUACACCGUCAUCAUUUUUCCCUCGUUCUUUUUACUUUUCCUUGCACAUCUCUGCUUGGUUAUUAAAGUUCAAAAUUAUAUACGUAUAAGAGGGAGAAUGAUUGGAGAUUUACUUGGUGUGAGAUAUCACAUUGUUCGAGAAACUUUAGAUGUUAUCAGAAUAAAUAAUCGUCAACAAGAGCGGUCUAGUACGUUGUAAAUUCUUAUCCAAGACUUUGUAUCAUUUGACGAUGUCAUGUGAAUCGCUACAAACAUGUUGAGUGUAUUGGUCAACCGAUUGUUGAAGCUUUUACUCGAGGGGAUGCUCUUAAUCCAUUAAAUAUCGUUUAUUCUGGUGUUUACAUCAGGGUCGAAAUACAAUUGAUUUAUGUAUUAAUGAAAAUCUUUAUACUUGCUAGCUUAGUUAUUUACUCGAUGGGUUUUCUUUAUUGCUUUUCAACGAUUUUUACCAAAAAAAUAAAUAAAUUCGUGAUUUUUAUAUAAUAUAAUCAUAACAUAAUAUAAAAUAACAUACGAGACAAAAAAUUUCAUAUACAAUUCUGUAAAGUGACAAUAAAAGUGACUUAUCUAUCAACUUUUUUCACUAUCACUUCUAAAAAAUCAAACUCUACCUUACGUAAAGUUGAUAGAGUACGAUUAACUUCUAAAUUUGAAAUCACUGUUUAUAUAUUCGAUACUGGCCGUAAUUUACAAAAAUAUUCUAUAGUAUUAGUAAGAGGGAGAAUGAUUAAAGAUUUAAUUGGUGUGAGAUAUUACAUUGUUCGAGAAACUUUAGAUGUUAUUAGAAUAAAUGAUCGUCAAUAAGAGCGUUCUAGUACGUUAUACAUUCUUAUUCAAGAUUUUGUAUCAUUUGACGAUGUCAUGUGAAUCGCUACAAACAUGUUGAGUGUAUUGGUCAACCGAUUGUUGAAACUUUUACUCGAGGGGAUGCUCUUAAUCCAUUAAGUAUCGCUUAUUCUGGUGUUUAUAUUAGUGUCAGAAUACAAUCGAUUUAUAUAUUAAUGAAAAUUUUUAUAUUUGAACUCUUUUUUUAUUAUUUCUUAUAUGUCAUAUCUUUAAUAGGGGGUUAGCUACACCUACAACCGAAAUGAAAACUGAGUGUUUCGUGGUUUAAAAAUGUCGAACCUCGUCUCAACCAUCAUUUAUCAUGACUUUUUAGGGUAAGUUCCUUGGCGUGAACACGGUAACAAGAAACACAUAAAUGAAUAUAAUUUAACUUGAAUUUAUAAACUAAUAAAAUUAUAAAUAAAAUUAGAAUAUAUUCAGUUUUAAUAUUAAAAUAGUAAUGAAUUAAUUACGUCUUAGAUGUUAUAUGCUAAUUAAGAAAACGGAACCGUAGUGUAGCGUGGAUUAUGUGGUCUGAUAACUGCAAUCAUCAAUUCAUUAUUUUCAUAUACAUACACUCUUAGGGAUGAAGAGUCCCUUAAAACUCAAACAAGUCGCACGUGUGGAAUAAAAUUUCUUUUGCACGUGCGAAAUAAUUUCCCCUCUUAUGUUUUUUUGGCUGAAAAAUGGCCUAGCACCCACCUGAAAAAAGUACCCUUUUACAGAGUAUGAAAGAAGGUAGUCCACGAAACCUACACAUGAAUUUUGUCAUUAGUCUUACAAUCAUGCAGUUUUACAAAUCAAGAACCAAGUUAUUAACAGUAACCUCAGUAAUUCCGAUCAGAGCUAUCCACCGAUUUAUUAGAUGAGGCAGAGAAAAGAAUAUGUGAAUCACCCACUAACUAUACAUGUGUCACACACCCAUUCUUACACAGCAUUAAUAUGUUGUAUUGUUUGUCUCCAUCAUACGCAAAUUUCAAGACAUUCAUCGGUGGAAGGUUGACUACUAUGAGCAAAUGGUGGCAAAUUUAGCUACGUCAAACGUUGGAGAUUGCUACUAAAUAAUGAUUACACUAUUCCCUAAUAUCAAUCCUCUAUAUAUACUAUAUGCGUAUAUAAAGGCUCAAGCAUUUGCUUGGUUAGUAAAACUGGAAUCAUCACUGUAAGCAAAGCCAGAAAAAUAAGUUCUGUACUUGUGAUUAUCAAAGUGAGGGAGAGCUGUGAAACCAUGGCUGCCAACAAUGUUGGGUCUGAAACUAAGCUUCUAGAUGAGAAAUCCCUUGAGAAUGAUCACUACAAGAUAUUCUGUGAUGAUUCCAGCUCAGUACGGCGAGAAGGUAAGGGUGAGUUGGUUUUUCGUGACCCUGAAGGUAAUGUCUGCAAGAUAAGUACUAUCGCCGACGAGGUUGGAAGGUGGAAACAGGGAGAACAGCCUGUUAAUGUGCCCUUAACAAAAACUAUCAGCCCUUCCGAGGGAAAGGCCAAGAACCAGAAUUAAUUAAAAAUUAUAUGUAUAUAUAUAUAUCUAUAUUAUUGCUAAAGGGUUGACAAUCUUUGCUAUACAUAUAUCUAUAUGCUUGCUAUCUAUAUAUAUAUUUACUAGCUAUAUAUAUAUAUUAUUGUUAAAGGGUUGACAAUCUUUGCUGUCAACCAAAAAAUAAACAGUGUGUUGUACAUAUCUCUGAUUUUAUACCAGAGGAUAAUGUAUUGUGUGAUGCUUGUAUCAGUGUCUAAUCCUGUUUUAGUAGGCUUUAAGUUAACUGAAGGUUACUUAGUUAAUUUACAAAGCAUUUUCUUCUUUUUCUACUUAUUUAUGCUUCAAAUUAUAUAAGCAUGCUUGUCAUAAUAUGUGUAUGCCGACCAGGUGUAUGGCUUGGUUAAUCACUAAGUUAGUCCUUAGAGCCCUGCAUCAGAUUCUCUAAGCUGCUAAUCAGCUGUUGUCUGCUGCUUGUGUCCCUCAUUAUGGCCGAUAUAUAUAUAUAUAUAUAUAUAUGUAAAACUAACCUAACAGGGUCUCAUCUGUGUGCCUGUAUAUAUAAAUAUACAUAUAUAUAUAUAUAUAUAUAUAUAUAUAUAUAUAAGCUGAUCCUUGUUUAUUUAAGGGUGUCGGACAUACAAGACAUAAGUUCUUUAUAAUAGAUCUGCAAUAGAGAUCAUACUACAAUAGAUCAGUAAACUUAAUCUAAUCAGUCUCUCAUGUUGAAAGUUCCAGUGAGAUUAUUCUUGGAAUUGUUGUACUUCCCUUCGUUGAAAUUGGCAAAUUUACCGCUGUAAUUCUUGGUAUCACGGUGUGUGAUUUCAUUGAAAGCUCCAGUGAUGGAAGUGUCAACGAAGUUGUGGUUUCCAACAGUGUUGGCCUGGGAAGCAAUUCUGCCAUUGUUGUUGAAAACCGGCCCUGGAGCAGGCCGAAAGUGAGAGCCAUAGUCGUAUUCGCAGUCAUAAUCGUAGUCAGUCUCGUAUUCUUCUUCAUCUUCUUCGUGCAUUUGUCUCCAAGCCUGCUCCUUUCGUCUAUUCAUUGGACCGAGUCUUUGAUCUGUCGCUAAUUAACUCCGGUGGGUUUAUUGGUGUAUGGUUAGUUUUGAAGGUGGCUUCACUAGCUAGCUCCUUAUAUAGAGUGAUCAAAUGUUGAAAACAGUCCAAUGCCCAUUAGGCUUUUUUUGGGAUAAGAAGGAAUCUUAUUUCCUUUCAAACAAUAGCAAGCACUAUAAUAAAAGAUCAUGGAAUAU
RNAcentral lists this long non-coding RNA (28005 nucleotides) under Carica papaya (papaya). RNAcentral describes it as "long non-coding RNA (CPAP_LNC012044)". The stretch from base 22320 to 22391 matches the Rfam family "tRNA". The record is from RNAcentral. Lineage: Eukaryota; Viridiplantae; Streptophyta; Magnoliopsida; Brassicales; Caricaceae.